Molecule: ribosomal RNA, 497 nt
Filed under: uncultured bacterium
Lineage: Bacteria
Description: partial 16S ribosomal RNA
Rfam family: Bacterial small subunit ribosomal RNA
Source: RNAcentral
GAUGAACGCUGGCGGCGUGCCUAAUACAUGCAAGUCGAGCGAACAGACGAGGAGCUUGCUCCUCUGACGUUAGCGGCGGACGGGUGAGUAACACGUGGAUAACCUACCUAUAAGACUGGGAUAACUUCGGGAAACCGGAGCUAAUACCGGAUAAUAUAUUGAACCGCAUGGUUCAAUAGUGAAAGACGGUUUUGCUGUCACUUAUAGAUGGAUCCGCGCCGCAUUAGCUAGUUGGUAAGGUAACGGCUUACCAAGGCAACGAUGCGUAGCCGACAUGAGAGGAUGAUCGGCCACACUGGAACUGAGACACGGUCCAGACUCCUACGGGAGGCAGCAGUAGGGAAUCUUCCGCAAUGGGCGAAAGCCUGACGGAGCAACGCCGCGUGAGUGAUGAAGGUCUUCGGAUCGUAAAACUCUGUUAUUAGGGAAGAACAAAUGUGUAAGUAACUAUGCACGUCUUGACGGUACCUAAUCAGAAAGCCACGGCUAACUACGUG